RNAcentral lists this ribosomal RNA (301 nucleotides) under uncultured bacterium. RNAcentral describes it as "partial 16S ribosomal RNA". It matches the Rfam family "Bacterial small subunit ribosomal RNA", at positions 509 to 809 of the family's 1533-position model. The record is from RNAcentral.
CAGCAGCCGCGGUAAUACGUAGGUGGCAAGCGUUGUCCGGAAUUAUUGGGCGUAAAGCGCGCGCAGGCGGAUCAGUUAGUCUGUCUUAAAAGUUCGGGGCUUAACCCCGUGAGGGGAUGGAAACUGCUGAUCUAGAGUAUCGGAGAGGAAAGUGGAAUUCCUAGUGUAGCGGUGAAAUGCGUAGAUAUUAGGAAGAACACCAGUGGCGAAGGCGACUUUCUGGACGAAAACUGACGCUGAGGCGCGAAAGCCAGGGGAGCGAACGGGAUUAGAUACCCCCGUAGUCCCUGUCUCUUAUACA